This 82-nucleotide small RNA is filed under the name Geosporobacter ferrireducens. RNAcentral's name for it is "Clostridiales-2 RNA". It matches the Rfam family "Clostridiales-2 RNA". Lineage: Bacteria; Bacillati; Bacillota; Clostridia; Peptostreptococcales; Thermotaleaceae. The record is from Rfam by way of RNAcentral.
AUAAAAAAAGGGUUGUAGGGGAUGAAAUCCCCUGCCGCCUUCAGGAAGAUGCUCAGACAGCUUUGCUGUCGUCGACGCUUUU